AGAUUGAACGCUGGCGGCAUGCCUAACACAUGCAAGUCGAACGGGAGUAGCAAUACUCUAGUGGCGGACGGGUGAGGAAUACGUAGGAAUUUGCCCUUAAGUGGGGGAUAACCCGGGGAAACCCGGAUUAAUACCGCAUGACCUCGAAAGAGCAAAGUGGGGGAUCGCAAGACCUCACGCUUUUGGAGAAGCCUACGUCGGAUUAGCUAGUUGGUGAGGUAAUGGCUCACCAAGGCGACGAUCCGUAACUGGUCUGAGAGGAUGAUCAGUCACACCGGAACUGAGACACGGUCCGGACUCCUACGGGAGGCAGCAGUGGGGAAUAUUGGACAAUGGGCGCAAGCCUGAUCCAGCAAUGCCGCGUGUGUAGGAAGAAGGGUCCUUCGGGUUAGUAAAGGCUACGUUUAAGGUUAGGGAAAGAAAAACUCGACUACUAACACGAGU
RNAcentral lists this ribosomal RNA (444 nucleotides) under uncultured soil bacterium. RNAcentral's name for it is "bacterial SSU rRNA". It matches the Rfam family "Bacterial small subunit ribosomal RNA", at positions 26 to 468 of the family's 1533-position model. The record is from RNAcentral.